Salvelinus fontinalis (brook trout) is the source of this 2011-nucleotide long non-coding RNA. RefSeq lists it as uncharacterized. The record is from RefSeq and is a predicted model, not a curated record. Lineage: Eukaryota; Metazoa; Chordata; Actinopteri; Salmoniformes; Salmonidae. The transcript has 2 exons.
UAUUAUAAGCAACAGAGAUUCGUGAAUGAGACUGGGGAUGCAGUAAAGGGGUUCUCUGACCAAUUAUCCGCCACCUCCCUCAUGGCCUGGUAAAAUAGACUGACUCUCGAUAUGUAAAUUGGCAGAAAAGGGCAGGGUAUGUAGAAUGAUUGGGGUUCAUUGCUGUACGUUUAUUAUUUAAAUAACACCGCUCCAGAUGGAUCAGUGACCAAGGCUCUGGCAGAGAACUAUGGGGUGGAUAAUUCUCUUACAAAUUGAUUUGACAGUAUGUUUGGGAAAUGGAAAAUUGUCAUAAUCACUGUGUUGUGGGCCACUUUCACCUGUAUGAGUGCUUUGGUUCCGUGUGAAUGCUGUUUGAUUCUGGGUGUGAAAGGUCUCAUUUCCAGGACUCUGGAGAAAUCGAUGACGCAACAGACGGUGAGAUACGGACCGAUUCAGAGCUCUGAGAAAGUCUCUCCAGAGAUGUUCGAUCGGGUUCAAGUCUGGGCUCUGGCUGGGCCACUCAAGGACAUUCAGUGACCACUCCUGCGUUGUCUUGGCUGUGUGAUUAGGGUUGUUGUCCUGUUGGAAGGUGAACCUUCACCCCAGUCUGAGAUCCUGAGCAGUCUGGAGCAGGUUUUCAUCAAGGAUCUCUCUGUACUUUGCUCCGUUCAUCUUUGCCUUGAUCCUGAUUAGUCUCCCAGUCCCUGCCGCUGAUAAACAUCCCCACAACAUGAUGAUGCCACCACCAUCCUUCACCGUAGGGAUGGUGCCAUGUUUCCUCCAGACAUGACGCUUUGCAUUCAGGCCAAAGAGUUCAAUCUUGGUUUCAUCAGACCAGAGAAUCUUGUUUCUCAUGGUCUGAGAGUUCUUUAGGUGCCUUUUGGCAAACUCCAAGCGGGCUGUCAUGUGCCUUUUACUGAGGAGUGGCUUCUGUCGGUCCACUACCAUUAACACCUGAUUGGUGGAGUGCUGCAGAGAUGGUUGUCCUUCUGGAAGGUUCUCCCAUCUCCACAGAGGAGUUCUAGAGCUCUCUCAGAAUGACCAUUGGGUUCUUUGUCACCUACGUGACCAAGGCUCUUCUCCACCGAUUGCUCAGUUAGGCUGGGCGACAAGCUCUAGGAAGAGUAUUGGUGGUUCCAAACUUCUUCCAUUUAAGAAUGAUGGAGGCCACCGUGUUCUUAUGGAUCUUCAAUGCCACAGACAUUUUUUGGUACCCUUCCCCAGAUCUGUGCCUCGACACAAUCCUGUCUAGGAGCUCUACAGACAAUUCCUUCGACUUCAUGGCUUGGUUUUUGCUCUGACAUGCACUGUCAACUGUGGGACCUUAUAUAGACAGGGGAGUGCCUUUCCAAAUCAUGUCCAAUCAAUUGAAUUUAACACAGGUGAACUCCAAUCAAGUUGUAGAAACAUCUCAAGGAUGAUCAAUGGAAACAGGAUGCACCUAAGCUCAAUUUUGAGUCUUAUAGUAAAAGGUCUGAAUACUUAUGUAAAUAAGGUAUUUCUCAAAACCUGUUUUUGCUAUGUCAUUAUGGGGUAUUGUGCGUAGAUUGCUGAGGGAAAUGUUUUAUUUAAUACAUUUACAGUAAGGCUGUAACGUAACAAAAUGUGGAAAAAGUCAAGGGGUCUGAAUACUUUCUGAAGGCACUGUAUAUCUGCCGUUUCCAUUAUCCAUGUCGCAAUUAAUUUCUUUGCUACAUUUCUUUUGUAGAACAAACCUGGGUCAAUGGAAUCUUGCCUAAUGGCUUGAAUCUAGGUUGUGCCUUUAGAAAAAUGAACAACUAAGGAAGAAUUCUUCACUUCUUUCAUUGACUUCUCAAACCCCAAACCCUUUGGUCUUUUUGGUCUGUUUGCAUGCAUUCCCUGAAGUCUUGUGUUGGUGCUUACUUAGAAACUCUGUGGUUUGUGCAUUUCAGUUGGUCAUGACAUGCGUGGCCCGAUUAGCCUACAGGGGGUGGAAACUGUGGUUGGACAGCAUUGGAGCAUUGUCGUGUCAGCAGGCCUAUAAAUAUCACUUAUUUGGUCAACCACA